RNAcentral lists this ribosomal RNA (803 nucleotides) under uncultured bacterium. RNAcentral's name for it is "bacterial SSU rRNA". It matches the Rfam family "Bacterial small subunit ribosomal RNA", at positions 8 to 813 of the family's 1533-position model. The record is from RNAcentral.
AGAGUUUGAUCCUGGCUCAGGAUGAACGCGGGCGGCGUGCCUAACACAUGCAAGUCGAUCGAAGCACCUUACCUGAUUCUUCGGAUGAAGGUCUGGUGACUGAGUGGCGGACGGGUGAGUAACGCGUGGGUAACCUGCCCUGUACAGGGGGAUAACAGUUGGAAACGGCUGCUAAUACCGCAUAAGCGCACGAGAGGACAUCCUCUAGUGUGAAAAACUCCGGUGGUACAGGAUGGGCCCGCGUCUGAUUAGCUGGUUGGCAGGGUAACGGCCUACCAAGGCGACGAUCAGUAGCCGGUCUGAGAGGAUGAACGGCCACAUUGGAACUGAGACACGGUCCAAACUCCUACGGGAGGCAGCAGUGGGGAAUAUUGCACAAUGGGGGAAACCCUGAUGCAGCAACGCCGCGUGAGUGAAGAAGUAUUUCGGUAUGUAAAGCUCUAUCAGCAGGGAAGAUAAUGACGGUACCUGACUAAGAAGCUCCGGCUAAAUACGUGCCAGCAGCCGCGGUAAUACGUAUGGAGCAAGCGUUAUCCGGAUUUACUGGGUGUAAAGGGUGCGUAGGUGGCAGUGCAAGUCAGAUGUGAAAGGCCGGGGCUCAACCCCGGAGCUGCAUUUGAAACUGCUCGGCUAGAGUACAGGAGAGGCAGGCGGAAUUCCUAGUGUAGCGGUGAAAUGCGUAGAUAUUAGGAGGAACACCAGUGGCGAAGGCGGCCUGCUGGACUGUUACUGACACUGAGGCACGAAAGCGUGGGGAGCAAACAGGAUUAGAUACCCUGGUAGUCCACGCCGUAAACGAUGAA